AUUUUGCACUGCACUAUUGAGUACCUAAACCAUACGAAAGUUAUUUUCGCUACUUGCUUUUUUUAUUAAAAAAGUUAACAGCUGUUGGACGUACAAGUUAUUUUCUCACAUAUGCAUGAAAAAGAAAGGAGAAAGCCCUGACUAGUGGAAAUUCAAGCAAGCCCACAAAAGUCACAGAAAUGGGCGUUAUAUCAUCCCAUAACAGGUAACUAAAAUAUAUUGUCAUUCCUCUAUAGACCAAUUCUUAUGGCCACAUAUACAGAGCUAUUCAGUUAAGAUAUAGCAGCUUCUGCACACAUCAGGAAACCUUCAGUAAGGCACAGAAGUCAUAGGAGAAACAAGCUGCCCGCAAGUGAAGCUAAUUUAAGAAGAACUCAACCAACUUCAAGAAUUUUUUUUAAUUCAUUAAAGAAGGCCACACAGAGACACAAGCCCAAGUCCAAAUCAGAACCACAGAUCCUGACACAAAUAAGGUGUGUGCUGAAUCUGGAUUUUUGAACAUGGAGGUUCAGUAUGGCGAAUUAUAAGAUACUGCAAAAGGGCAUGGUACCAGCUCAAAGAAAGAUGGUAUGGCGUCUAAAAAUGGAGAAUUGGUAGCUGCAUAUUAAAUCACUUUAAAAAAACAACUUGUUGUUCAGCAGAGAGGCUUGAAUUUCUAGGAUAACAAAGGCGCAGACGUAGAACUUCAAGUGCUGCUUACAGAGCAAUUCAGCAUUUAGAUAGUUCAGAAAAGUAGAAUCUUGUGUCUUUGGACUUUUAAGCACUUAAUGCUUUAAACUUGAUGUAGAUACACUAAGAAAGGAAACACACACUCCACCCCCAUUCCCCUUCACCACCCACCUCCCUGUAGCCCUACUCAACUGUAACCCCCUC
RNAcentral lists this long non-coding RNA (873 nucleotides) under Gopherus agassizii (Agassiz's desert tortoise). Its description in RNAcentral is "lncRNA (ENSGAGG00000007719.1)". Lineage: Eukaryota; Metazoa; Chordata; Testudines; Testudinidae. The record is from RNAcentral.